This 232-nucleotide long non-coding RNA is filed under the name Hordeum vulgare. Its description in RNAcentral is "long non-coding RNA (HVUL_LNC004104)". The record is from RNAcentral. Lineage: Eukaryota; Viridiplantae; Streptophyta; Magnoliopsida; Poales; Poaceae.
UUCCUUUUGAUUGAUUCAUGUGCAGUGUAAUGUUCUUGUAGGAUGACAAGUUGUCGCAUCUCGAGCAUGUUUCGUAGGAGAGUGGAAUGAAGUCCAUUGUACUAUUGGGAUAGUAGCAGAUGUGCCAUUGUUCUAUUGUGCAAUUCUGUCCGUUCUUGCUAUAUUCAUGUGUAAGGAAAUGUAUUCAUGAGGUGAGUUAUUGUAUUAUGUAAACCUGAGAGAUGUAUUAUGU